GAACGAGGGAGUAUUCCGAAAGGGGUACAAACCGAGUGGCGUAAGGGUGAGUAAUGCAUUGAUAACCUACCUUUGAGAUGGGAACAACAGCGUUCCAAGCAAUUGGAGCUACCGAAAGGGCUGCUAAUACCCAAUAAAACUAUUAUUGCUUUGGUGAUGAUAGUCAAACAUGCGGAAUCGAAAGGUUCCAUUUGCUCAAAGAGGGGUCAAUGUCCUAUCAGCUUGUUGGUGGGGUAACGGCCUACCAAGGCGAAGACGGGUAGCCGGCCUGAGAGGGUGGUCGGCCACACUGGGACUGAGACACUGCCCAGACUCCUACGGGAGGCUGCAGUCGAGAAUCUUUCGCAAUGCCCGAAAGGGUGACGAAGCGACGCCGCGUGCGGGAAGAAGGCCUUCGGGUUGUAAACCGCUGUCGGGAGUUAGGAAAUGCAAGGAUGUUAAUAGCAUUCUUGCUUGACUAAGGCUCCGGAGGAAGCCACGGCUAACUCUGUG
Molecule: ribosomal RNA, 492 nt
Filed under: uncultured Planctomycetota bacterium
Lineage: Bacteria; Pseudomonadati; Planctomycetota
Description: bacterial SSU rRNA
Rfam family: Bacterial small subunit ribosomal RNA
Source: RNAcentral